This 786-nucleotide ribosomal RNA is filed under the name uncultured bacterium. RNAcentral describes it as "SSU rRNA". It matches the Rfam family "Bacterial small subunit ribosomal RNA", at positions 72 to 853 of the family's 1533-position model. The record is from RNAcentral.
AAGGUAGCUUGCUACUGGACCUAGCGGCGGACGGGUGAGUAAUGCUUAGGAAUCUGCCUAUUAGUGGGGGACAACAUUCCGAAAGGAAUGCUAAUACCGCAUACGCCCUACGGGGGAAAGCAGGGGAUCCUCGGACCUUGCGCUAAUAGAUGAGCCUAAGUCGGAUUAGCUAGUUGGUGGGGUAAUGGCCUACCAAGGCGACGAUCUGUAGCGGGUCUGAGAGGAUGAUCCGCCACACUGGGACUGAGACACGGCCCAGACUCCUACGGGAGGCAGCAGUGGGGAAUAUUGGACAAUGGGCGGAAGCCUGAUCCAGCCAUGCCGCGUGUGUGAAGAAGGCCUUUUGGUUGUAAAGCACUUUAAGCGAGGAGGAGGCUCCUUUAGUUAAUACCUAAAGUGAGUGGACGUUACUCGCAGAAUAAGCACCGGCUAACUCUGUGCCAGCAGCCGCGGUAAUACAGAGGGUGCGAGCGUUAAUCGGAUUUACUGGGCGUAAAGCGUGCGUAGGCGGCUUUUUAAGUCGGAUGUGAAAUCCCUGAGCUUAACUUAGGAAUUGCAUUCGAUACUGGAAAGCUAGAGUAUGGGAGAGGAUGGUAGAAUUCCAGGUGUAGCGGUGAAAUGCGUAGAGAUCUGGAGGAAUACCGAUGGCGAAGGCAGCCAUCUGGCCUAAUACUGACGCUGAGGUACGAAAGCAUGGGGAGCAAACAGGAUUAGAUACCCUGGUAGUCCAUGCCGUAAACGAUGUCUACUAGCCGUUGGGGCCUUUGAGGCUUUAGUGGCGCAGCU